GUUCAGUUUAUGUUUACCCUGAAAUUCUUUUGACCUCCGGAAUGAUGUGCUAACCUCUGCAUCACAGCACAGAAAUUAUAUAUUUUAUAAACUGUUAUAAGCUUUAAUACUGUAAAAAAUAAUGUGAAAGCACAGCAGAUGGGAACAUAUUGUAAAUUUACACAUUUUUACAGUGUAUGUUGAAUAAUAAAUCUGUUUUCACCCUUGCAGCAUAAAUGAUGAACUGAGAACAAGAUGAGACAAGACAUCAUGCUCAGCAGACUGAUACUGCUGUCUGCCCUCUGUAUGGUAAUAUCCUUGGGAAGUCUGUUGGUCAUCUCGGCUUCACUUCAGUCACUCCAGUUGAAGAUUGUAGUCUGCUCAUCUGGAUCCUCACCUCCUUAUAAAGAUGAAUCAUGCAUGGCUACUGAUUUCACAGACGUCCUUCAUCAUUACUCCAUAUACCUCUGCAUGCAUUCUCUUGGCCUUUGUUCUUUUAAUGUCACCAGUAGAAAAGAGUGCAAAUUUUCAUGCAAAAAAAGAGAGCAUGCCUUAAGUCUGAAAGAG
Long non-coding RNA from Cyprinus carpio carpio, 546 nucleotides. The record is from Ensembl. NCBI's taxonomy places the organism in Eukaryota, Metazoa, Chordata, Actinopteri, Cypriniformes, Cyprinidae.